GUAAUACGUAAAAGACGAGUGUUAUUCAUCUUUAAUCGGUUUAAAGGGUACCUAGACGGAAAAUCAAGCUUAAUUAAACUAAGGACUAGUUUUCUAGAGUUUGACAUGAGAAGGUACGAACUAUCAGAGGAGAGAUAAAAUUUGUUGAUACUGGUGGGACGGACAACGGCGAAGGCAAUCUUCUACUAAAAACUGACGUUGAGGGACGAAGCCUUGGGGAGCGAGAAGGAUUAGAUACCCUAGUAGUCCUUGGAGAAAAUUAUGAGUGCCAUAGACUAAAGUGAAAAAGAAGUUCUUUUAAAAGAACUUUGUAUCUGAGCCUUAAUUGGAUACAAAGGUCUCGAGUAGCAGUUUAUAAAUGAAAGUGUAAGCAUUCCACCUCAUGACUAAAGCGGCAACGCCCAAAUUGAAAUCAUUAGACCGUUUCUGAAACCAGUAGUGAAGUAUGUUAUUUAAUUCGAUAACCCGCGAAUAACCUUACCACGUUUUGAAUUUAUUAAACAAGUGUUGCACGGCUGUCUUCAGUUAAUGUCGUGAGAUUUUGGUUUGUUCCAUUAAUUAACGAAAACCCUUGUUUCAUUUUUAUAUGAAAUAGUUCACCGUUAUAUUGGAAAGAUAAAAGGGAUC
RNAcentral lists this ribosomal RNA (627 nucleotides) under Chaetothyriales sp. A575. Its description in RNAcentral is "SSU rRNA". It matches the Rfam family "Bacterial small subunit ribosomal RNA", at positions 520 to 1181 of the family's 1533-position model. The record is from RNAcentral. Lineage: Eukaryota; Fungi; Ascomycota; Eurotiomycetes; Chaetothyriales.